RNAcentral lists this transfer RNA (70 nucleotides) under Colomys lumumbai. Its description in RNAcentral is "Colomys sp. l TG-2021 tRNA-Thr". It matches the Rfam family "tRNA". From Rfam's summary of the family: Transfer RNA (tRNA) molecules are approximately 80 nucleotides in length. Lineage: Eukaryota; Metazoa; Chordata; Mammalia; Rodentia; Muridae. The record is from RNAcentral.
GUCCUAAUAGUAUAAUUAAUAUUACCCUGGUCUUGUAAACCAAAAAUGAAGAAAAAAUCUCCUUAGGACA